UGCAACUAUGUAUUCUAUUGUUUUUUGUUAUUACCUGUGAGUUAAGCAAUAUAAGCAUGCGUUGCAUUUAAAUCGACAACAUAACAAGCUUAUGUCUUCUUUGUAAAUCAAAACAUUGCAUGACAUGAUAAUAUACAAAUUAUUGUCUGAGAACUAGGUCGGUGCAUUUAUCAAAGGUCAGCAAAAUCAUAUUUAAGCAAGCGAUUCAGAUCAAUUGUAGAAAGUUGUAAAUUUUUGUGGAUUGAGAUUAUCGGUUUAAACAUUGAAGAUUAUUUUAGAUUCUGAAAAUUGGUUUAAUUUAAAUAAUUAACUAAAAUGCAAAUUAGUUCAUUUUUUUCAGUCAUCGUUUUAAUAACUUCUUUAAAUUGUUUACAACCAACAACCUCAUCUAGCAUUGCAUUAGCCGAAAUAAACUUCAGCAAAAAUCUUGACUUGGCCAGACCAAGAGGAAACGAACCAUUUAAAAUAAGAAACAUACUCGAAUUGAUGUUGGAAAUAAUGGACAACUUGCAAUUUGGAGGAAGAAGAAAGCCAACACUUUCAAUCAAUUAAAUUAAAAAAAACUAAAGUUUUGGUCUUAAAAGCUAAAUUUUUUUAUUAUUUUUUUGUUCGUUUUUAUCAAACAUUUUUUUAAUUUUUUUUUUUUUUGUAAUAUAAUUAAAACAAUGUUUAAUAGAUAAAAGCUAAAUAAUAUACUAAAACUAAUCUAAAUCUAAUAAAGUGUUAAUAUUAUUGUUGUAUAUAAA
Episyrphus balteatus (marmalade hoverfly) is the source of this 746-nucleotide long non-coding RNA. RefSeq lists it as uncharacterized. The transcript has 2 exons. The record is from RefSeq and is a predicted model, not a curated record. Lineage: Eukaryota; Metazoa; Arthropoda; Insecta; Diptera; Syrphidae.